RNAcentral lists this ribosomal RNA (152 nucleotides) under Staphylococcus aureus. RNAcentral describes it as "partial 16S ribosomal RNA". It matches the Rfam family "Bacterial small subunit ribosomal RNA", at positions 1392 to 1533 of the family's 1533-position model. The record is from RNAcentral. Lineage: Bacteria; Bacillati; Bacillota; Bacilli; Caryophanales; Staphylococcaceae.
GCCCGUCACACCAUGGGAGUUGGUUUUACCCGAAGGCGCUGUGCUAACCGCAAGGAGGCAGGCGACCACGGUAGGGUCAGCGACUGGGGUGAAGUCGUAACACGGUAGCCGUAGGGGAACCUGCGGCUGGAUCACCUCCUUUCUACGGAAGC